This 322-nucleotide ribosomal RNA is filed under the name Cercozoa sp. RNAcentral describes it as "SSU rRNA". The stretch from base 110 to 322 matches the Rfam family "Eukaryotic small subunit ribosomal RNA", at positions 742 to 955 of the family's 1831-position model. RNAcentral also lists the same sequence under 1 other name. The record is from RNAcentral. Lineage: Eukaryota; Cercozoa.
GAUUUCUGGGCUCAAGAAUUUGGCCGGCCACGGUUUCGUGUGUUAGUGCUUUGUUCUGUGUCCAUCCUUCCAAUUGCUAUUGGCUAUUCUUCAUUGAUUGGUCAGUAGUAUUGGAUCUUUUACUUUGAAAAAAUUAGAGUGUUUCAAGCAGGCUUUAUGCUAUGAAUACAUUAGCAUGGAAUAAUAAUUUAGGACUUUGGCCCUAUUUUGUUGGUUUCUAGGACUGAAGUAAUGAUUGAUAGGGAUAGUUGGGGGUGCUCGAAUUCAGCGGCCAGAGGUGAAAUUCUUGGAUUCGCUGAAGACGAACUCAUGCGAAAGCAUU